GACGAACGCUGGCGGCGUGCUUAACACAUGCAAGUCGAACGGAGUGGCGGACGGGUGAGUAACGCGUAAUCAACCUGCCCUUCAGAGGGGGACAACAGUUGGAAACGACUGCUAAUCCCGCAUACUGAAGGAGGGGAUUGCGUCGGAUUAGCUAGUUGGAGGGGUAACGGCCCACCAAGGCGAUGAUCAGUAGCCGGUCUGAGAGGAUGAACGGCCACAUCGGGAAUGAGACACGGCCCAGACCUCUACGGGAGGCAGCAGUGGGGAAUCUUUCGAAAUGGACGAAAGUCGGACGGAGCAACGCCGCGUGAGUGAUGACGGCCUUCGGGUUGUAAAGCUCUGUUAAUCGGGACGCGUUACCGGAAUAGAAAGCAACGGCUAACUACGUGCCAGCAGCCGCGGUAAUAC
Molecule: ribosomal RNA, 408 nt
Filed under: uncultured bacterium
Lineage: Bacteria
Description: partial 16S ribosomal RNA
Rfam family: Bacterial small subunit ribosomal RNA
Source: RNAcentral